CGAAAUCUAUUUAGGUAGAGCGUCAUCCGAAUACCCUCGGGGGUAGAGCACUGGAUGGGCUAUGGGGACUCACCGUCUUACUGAUCCUAACCAAACUCCGAAUACCGAGGAGUACUAGAUGGCAGACACACUGCGGAUGCUAACGUCCGUAGUGGAGAGGGAAACAACCCUGACCACCAAUUAAGGUCCCCAAAUAAUGGCUAAGUGUGAAAGGAUGUGGGAUUGCUUUGACAAUGAGGAGGUUGGCUUAGAAGCAGCCAUCCUUUAAAGAUAGCGU
RNAcentral lists this ribosomal RNA (277 nucleotides) under Prasinoderma coloniale. RNAcentral describes it as "partial Bacterial large subunit ribosomal RNA". It matches the Rfam family "Bacterial large subunit ribosomal RNA", at positions 860 to 1135 of the family's 2925-position model. The record is from RNAcentral. Lineage: Eukaryota; Viridiplantae; Prasinodermophyta; Prasinodermophyceae; Prasinodermales; Prasinodermaceae.